This is a long non-coding RNA of Alligator sinensis (Chinese alligator), 928 nucleotides long. RefSeq lists it as uncharacterized. The transcript is spliced from 4 exons. Lineage: Eukaryota; Metazoa; Chordata; Crocodylia; Alligatoridae. The record is from RefSeq and is a predicted model, not a curated record.
CUGUUUCAGAAGCAAAUUUCAGUUCCUGAAAAACAUCGUCAUUCCUUGAGUGGAUGAGGCAGGACAAGGAGCAGACCUUUUCCCCUUCUUGCAAACCAUCACUGAGCUCAGCUGUGAAGAUUCUGCAUUUGUUGGAUGCCUUGGGAAACAUUAGCCUUUGUGCAGAGGACAUUCACCUGAAGGCAAAAGACCAGAGCCAAGAGGGGUAUCUUAAACCCAGCAGCUGCAGUUCUGAAAUCUUAGAUUUAUGAAGUGAAGUUCGUAGGCUCGUCUACGGAAGGGUUUUUGUAAGUUCCCUGUGAGGAUUAGAACAGAGAUCGGAGAGGGAGUGAUUGUCUUAUGAGAAGUGUGCACCCACAGGAUUCAUCUCUCUUCUGAAGAGGAUAUCAGUGAGGAAUAGCCUGAAAGAAGAGGUGCGGACCAGAAGGAUUGAUCGGGGAUCAUAAUGGACAUCCAAACAGCCUUGCACUUGAUUUGUCCAGAGGACUUGGAAGGAGGUCCUUCCUGGCAGAGUAAGCGUAGUCUGCACAACAUAAUUACCGGAAACAAGGCCAAGAAGCCUCAUUUAUGGUAUUAAAAAGGCAGUUGAGAGAAGACUGGUGUUUUCAACCCCCUGGACUUGAUCAUCUUGGGCAGAGGAAGCCACAGCAUUCGUAGCUAAGUCCCUAGAACCAGUCACUCAAGAAGCAUGCUUGCAAGAAGCACUGUGCCUGUCUCUGCUGGAUGCUUUCACUGCAGUUCUCGCUUCUAUUCUUUGAGAGACUGUCAGAGCUGAAGAGUUUGCAAGCUUCUUGGUUAUCUUAACUAUCUAAUUUUCCCUUUUUGCUUUGCUUUCAUCUUUCGUUUUUGUUAGCUGGGAGUUGUCCUAGUCUGUUUAGCCACUGAAGGCAACUGAAAGAGAAUUUACUCGUGUUUAAAGAGCCCUAAG